CUCCCCCUCCUCGCGGGGAGUGUCCGGGCGCGGCCUUGGCAAAGCCCCGGGAGCCGUGUGCCUGCCAGGGGUCGGGCUGUUCCUGCCUGUUCCGUAGGGCCUGGGGGCUGUAGCCCGCUUGCUCGGGGUCGCCUCUCGUAGCCGGCCGGCCGCCUCAGCGUGGGUUGUAGGCUGCAGCCCGGUUUUAGUCAGGCGAGGCUCAGACGAGGCUUUGAGACCCUGUCUGAAAAUCCCGUGCCCCCCCUCUUCCUUCACACUGACUCCUUAAAUUCAGUGCUGCCGGAUUCCUCAGGGCAUCGGGUGUGCUUCUAGCCAGCAGAUAGGCGAUUGAUUUUCGCCUCCUCACGAGUUGUUCUGGUGCCUGUGUGUAUUGAAUGCCAGUUCUAUAAAAGGUGUUGAAGAUCUAUGAAAGGUGUUGAAGAAACAGUCUGUGGUUUUAUCUCUCCAGCCCAGCUCCCUGCCCUGUAUCUGCACUGUUUCCGGCCUGUGCCAGCGUGAACAUUUGUGAAAUCAAGCGAUAAAUGAGAUUGAACUGAGAGGACCAGAGAACAACCUGCUUUCCUUCCGUUUUGCUGAUCCAGUUCACCAACAUAAUAAAUGUGUCAGCGUGGCACAGAGGACAGCACAGGCACAGCUGAGAACAGGCACAGCUGAGAACAGGCACAGCUUAAAAGGUCUUGUUCUGCUGCAAGUGCACACCCAGGCGCUGACUUGCUUUGUUGUUUAGUGCCAGUUCAAUGUCUCCUUGAAAACACUCCCAGCACCCCUGACACCUCCAACACUGGAACUCUGUGUCUCAGUGGGUAAUUCUGUGAGUCAUCUUGUCAUAAACUUGGGCUGGACCAUGGUGUUUGUCUCCAGCAAGGGUUGGGCUUAUGGCAUUAUGGUAUAAUGUGAUGGCAAUUUUUGGUCUCUCUUCACCAAAUCUUUCACAAAUCCAUUGUUUCCAGUGACACGAUUGAGGAGUCACUUUCAUUUGCAUGUUUAUGGGUAUUUUAACUCCUUUUUUCAAUAGUGAAAACCCAAUAAUCUUCAUAUAUGUAAUUAUGUUGCAGUUAUUACUGGUUCCUCUUUCCUUGGAGUUUGAUCUGUAACCUCUGUAAGUUUGCAAAACAAUAUGCAUAGAGGAUGUCAUCCGCAGAUUCUGUACUGAGCAGGCCAGUCAUGUCUUGCUGACAGACGAGUUCUCAGAGCCAGGCUAGGAGGCCUUUUAAUGCAGAAUGGAAAGCAUCCCAUGCUAACUUUAUCAAAAGAUGCAUUGUACUCCAUAGAGAUGGUUGCAGAUGCUAUGAGAUUAUUAUCCAAAGCCUUGGAAAGCUCCCUGAAUUCACAUCCCUUCUGUGCAUUGUGUUUAUUAGAGGAUGCGAUAAAUGCCAUCACUGUGUUACACAAGACCAUACAAUAAUAAUUGGAACUGGCUGGGAAGUGAAAUUUUUAUUCUGCAGGAAAUUCCAGCUUGUCAAUAUUUUGUUUCAUCGAGUGCUGGAACAAAACAUGUUGGCUCUGCAGCCUUUCUGGCAAAAAUGGAACUAUCGAUUUCUUUGCCAGCUGACAAGCCUGGGAAGCCAAGAAACCAACUGAGCAGUCGGCCUGAUGCCAGGGAGCUGUAUAGCCAGUCAGCUGAGCUACAGUAAGAAGCCGUGCUGGCCAGCAGCCACAGCCAGAUCAUGGCUAGAGCUUCUGUAGAAAGUUUGGAUGGAACCAGGGCAAUGCAGAAUUCCAGUGCCAAUCUGUUCAAUUAGAAGAUGGCCAAGCACCCUCUCAAUAAUUGACUUCUGUCAGGAGAGGAUGUAACUCUACUGCACUUUCUGUUCCUUAUGUGUUUCUUUCUUCAGCUUUUGCCUUGUGACUUAGGCACAUACCUAUUGCUUGUAUGAGAAGAUUAAAUCCAAGAACUUUCCUUAAGGAUUAGUGAUGAUACCCAAACCCAUGAGGGAGUUUUCAGAGUGUCCCUCAUUGCUAGUUUUGUGAUUGUCAUUCAGAUAACCUUGUGUGUCAGCAAUACCUCAUGGUAUCUGCCUGUGUAUGCCCUGCUAAUGAGAGUUACACAGUUAUUGCAAGCAGUACUGUGUGAGAUUGGAGUAAACAUUUGUCUGCUAUCAGAUAAUACAGUCUCCUUGUCUUCAUCCCAUAUUUGCAGAUGAAUUUAAGAUAAACUUGCCAAAAUGCAAUAACGAGGCAAAAAUGCCUUCUGAACUAUGGAAGUGAUACUGAUCUUGGGAAGUCGGUGAUGUGGAGGCCAACACUGAUAUGGAGGGCACCCUCCUCUGUCAGCACUAUCUGUGCUCAAGUCCUGAAACUGUUUGCUCAGUGUAACCCUUAACCUAAACUUUAUUUCAGGAUUCUUGCAAUGCUCCAGUUAUUUUUCCCUUUUGUUGUAUUUCUGGAAAGGUAUCAGACCAGUUUGUAAAAAAAAAAAUUAUAUCUUUGCCCUCUUGCUGUUCACAGUUAUGGCACCAUCAUAAAAGAUAUCUGCUGCUUUUUAAUGUUUAAAUAAUUUCUAUUAUAGGAAAAAUCUUUCCUUAUUCUUUUAAUAAUUUCCUUAUUAAUAAGGAAUUAUUAAUUCCUUAAAUCUGCAGACAUGAUGCACGCUGUACACAUCUCUUGUUUGUUUUCAACCAGUUACUGUCUGUACUUCUUCUUUAAAGGCCACAGAUGUCAUAUACCAUCCUUACCACAACUGUGGUAACUCCAGGGAACAAUGAAUUUCCUUGUAAAUGUUCACUGGUAAUUAAAUUUUCUGCAACUUCAUCUCUUUAAAUAGUCUCUAAUAUUCCUGCUGUGAAAUUAGAGGAAAACCAGAUGCUAUACUGAGACACAUUUCAAAUCUUGUGCCUUCCACAUGUAAACAAAUUUGACUUACUGUCUCUCUUGAAUUCAACUGCUGCGGAGAUGCUACAGUAUCUGGCUUCCAAAUGAAUUCAGUGACCUUUCAAUUUUCUAAGCAUAGUCUGGUUUACUGCUGGUUUAACAGUGUUUAUUCUUGAACAGGAAAUCAUUUUCAUAGUGAGUAUUUUCUCACAGUGAAAAUAGUUUAGUGUAAUGUUCAUGAUGCAUUUUCUCCUUCAUUUCUGCUGGAGUUGUUGCACAGUGUGCUGUGUGCUGCUGCAGCAUAUCCUGAAAUGUACUCUUCAUCUCAGAUGAAAUUACUCCAGCAUAUGUUUAAGGUUUAAGUCAGUCUCAAUAUGACCAUUUGGCUUGUCUUGUUUAUAUUCCACACAUGAGUAACUGCUGCUGUGUGUCAUUCGAGUCCUUCUGAUUCUCGAUUUCCUCAGUGUUGCCGCAUACUUAGAGAUGAUUUAAUUUCCCCUCUGAUCCCAUCUAUAAUAGAAAUGCUCUUUAAACAUGAGCAUGCCUUAAUUAUAGCGUUUCUGUCUUUUUCCAAUAAAAUAUUGGCUGGAAACUACCAAGUCCUUACAUGUCUUGGUGACACCUUUUCAGCAAGAUAGAAAUAUUGAUAGCUUUUCCCAAAAACUAAGAAAAAACAGGAGUGACAAGGAAACCAUCACCUAAGACAAACUAGAAGUGCCUCAUCCCUCCAUCCACAUGGGCUGUAAUACAAAGGAUCCUGAAUACCUCAUGUCAGAGAGAGGGGAUUUUUAUCAUGUGGGGUAGUCAUUGUGAAAAAGUCACUGUACACUCCAUUCCAAGGGCUUCUUUGUAACUUAUUGUUUGAAAGCAAAAAAAAAGCUUGGCCAAAAUGGAACACAGAACAGAAAUACCUAAAAGAAAUUGUAUGAGUUCCUCCCUACCACUGUAAGAUUGCUGAGUAGCUGUUUCUGAGCUACCUUCACUGAAGGCAAUUUCAUUUUCCCAAUGAAAUUUUUGUAUGUUUCUCAGCACAGAAAUGUUACAUUUACACGAUCUACUGAGAACCAAAUGAAUUUCAUUUUUAAACUGUUUUGAAAUUGAAACUCACUUGAUUGACACUGUAAAUUGAGUUUUUCAAGAGUCAAAAUGUAGCUAAAAAUUAUACAUUCUGGUAACAUUGUAUUUUACUAGGUACUUCAGCUCAUGUACCAUUGAAGUAUUAGUUACUCUUGUAAUUAUGGAAGUUAACUUUUAACUUUGUUGAAAGGAAAGUAUUUUCUUUGUGGUCACUUACGCUUUAAAGCUGUGGAGAUAGAUAUAAAUACAAUGUAAAUAUAUAUUUUAGUAUAUGAAGUCAAAAUCUUUUUAAUCAGUCAAAAAGGGAUUCAUCCAUUGCCUUUUUGCUCAGUUGCAAGAAACUGCAUUAGGAAUAUUUGAAAACAUAAUAAAAGUGUUUUAAAAUCAAAUUGUUUGAACUUCAGCAAUGUGUCAUCAUUUACAACUGAUAAGACAUUGUUCUGCCUAUAAAUG
Molecule: long non-coding RNA, 4341 nt
Organism: Cyanistes caeruleus (blue tit)
Lineage: Eukaryota; Metazoa; Chordata; Aves; Passeriformes; Paridae
Source: RefSeq, a predicted model, not a curated record